This 465-nucleotide ribosomal RNA is filed under the name uncultured bacterium. Its description in RNAcentral is "partial 16S ribosomal RNA". It matches the Rfam family "Bacterial small subunit ribosomal RNA", at positions 338 to 795 of the family's 1533-position model. The record is from RNAcentral.
CCUACGGGAGGCUGCAGUAGGGAAUCUUCCACAAUGGGCGAAAGCCUGAUGGAGCAACGCCGCGUGGGUGAAGAAGGUCUUCGGAUCGUAAAACCCUGUUGUUAGAGAAGAAAGUGCGUGAGAGUAACUGUUCACGUUUCGACGGUAUCUAACCAGAAAGCCACGGCUAACUACGUGCCAGCAGCCGCGGUAAUACGUAGGUGGCAAGCGUUAUCCGGAUUUAUUGGGCGUAAAGGGAACGCAGGCGGUCUUUUAAGUCUGAUGUGAAAGCCUUCGGCUUAACCGGAGUAGUGCAUUGGAAACGGGGAGACGUGAGUGCAGAAGAGGAGAGUGGAACUCGAUGUGUAGCGGUGAAAUGCGUAGAUAUAUGGAAGAACACCAGUGGCGAAAGCGGCUCUCUGGUCUGUAACUGACGCUGAGGUUCGAAAGCGUGGGUAGCAAACAGGAUUAGAUACCCCAGUAGUC